RNAcentral lists this microRNA (22 nucleotides) under Haemonchus contortus (barber pole worm). RNAcentral describes it as "hco-miR-5921-3p". The record is from miRBase by way of RNAcentral. Lineage: Eukaryota; Metazoa; Nematoda; Chromadorea; Rhabditida; Trichostrongylidae.
CCUAUUAGUUUUCCUUGCCGAA